GCUCUGGUGACUUGCCUGUUGCUAAAUAUCAAUUAUUAUACACUAUUUGUUCAUCUGAAAUGGCACCCUACUCCCUAUAUGGGCCCUGGUCAAAAAGUAGUGCACUACAUAGGGAAUAGUGUUUCAUUUGAGACGCAGACUAUGUUGUUGAGUUUUUAGGAUACUGACUGACUACAAGGGCAUUUUGAUACUGGUCUUCUAUGCAUUUUGUAAGACUCGCAUAUUUAGUUAUUUGCUGUAGGAGUUUUGUUUCACCACGCUAUAGCUAUAUACAGGGCACUCUGACGGUGUGAUAUAGUUUAGUUAGUAGACAGAAUAACAAGAGUUUUGGUAAAUGUACAGAUUAAAAAUGUGUGCCGGGACUUUGGUACAUACACACUUAUGCAUCCAAUAUUUACCUCGUCCUCUCCUGAGCAAUAAAAAAGCCAUUUUUUUCUCACGUCUGCUAGAGUUAUGCAACACGUAGCUUCACAUGAGCUCAAUGAGGUAAAAUAAAAACCUGGGUCGUGUUCAUUAUGCACCAAACGGAAGAAAACGGUCUGAAACGGGGCAGGGGCUAUACCUGAAACGCUAAUUUUUGUUUUUGUGUUUUGCGAAACAUUUUAAAAGGUUGCGUGAAUGAAUGUCCCCGUGCUAGAAGGUAAAGCAUGGAUUGGGCUGGAGUUAUCUUUAAAACAUCCUUUGACUAAAUAAAAAUAAAAAAUGGCAAUGAAUGAACUACUGUAGUUGAUAAAGUAUUACAUUGUAUUUGAUUAUAAAGGGUUUUUAGAGAAUGACCAUUUUAACGUGCUUGUCUGCGCUGACAGACUGGAGCGAAGAGACAUUUUGUCACUGGAAGAUUUGAAGCAAAGCAAGCUAAUCUACUUCUGAUAGGUCAAAACACCACUCCAAACCAUAGACAGUGUAUGUAGCAUUACAUUCUGAUAGGUCAAAACACCACUCCAAACCAUAGACAGUAUAUGUAGCAUUACAUUCUGAUAGGUCAAAACACCACUCCAAACCAUAGACAGUGUAUGUAGCAUUACAUUCUGAUAGGUCAAAACACCACUCCAAACUAUAGACAGUGUUUGUAGCAUUACAUUCUGAUAGGUCAAAACACCAUAGAACAAACACAAUACUGUAUGUAGCAUUACAUUCUGAUAGGUCAAAACACCACUCCAAACCAAAGACAGUGUAUGUAGCAUUACAUUCUGAUAGGUCAAAACACCACUCCAAACUAUAGACAGUGUUUGUAGCAUUACAUUCUGAUAGGUCAAAACACCACUCCAAACUAUAGACAGUGUUUGUAGCAUUACAUUCUGAUAGGUCAAAACACCAUAGAACAAACACAAUACUGUAUGUAGCAUUACAUUCUGAUAGGUCAAAACACCACUCCAAACCAUAGACAGUGUUUGUAGCAUUACAUUCUGAUAGGUCAAAACACCAUAGAACAAACACAAUACUGUAUGUAGCACACAGGCAUUUUCAGAGGGACAUUUUGCAUGCAGAACACCAUACUCCAAACCACAAAGGGAUCCGGCAACUGGAGAGAUUAGCCUAUGUACCGCACAGUCAUAUUCAGAUCAUACCUUACUGCUUUCAACAUACAGUUCAUGGGUUCUGUCUCUCUCUCUCUUUCUCUCGCUCUCUCUCUGUCUCUGUCUCUCUCUCUCUCUCUCUCUGUCUGUCUCUCUCUGUCUCUCUCUCUCAAUCUCUGUCUCUCUCUCUCUCAAUCUCUGUCUCUCUCUCAAUCUCUGUCUCUCUCUCAAUCUCUCUCUCUCAAUCUCUCUCUCAAUCUCUCUCACUCUCUCUCAAUCUCUCUCUGUCUCUCUCUCAUUCUCUCUCUCUUUCUGUCUCUCUCUCGCUCGCUCUCUCUCUCUCUCUCUCUCUCUCUCUCUCUCUGUCUGUCUCUCACACCUCACCUGGCACCAGAUAAUUUAGAAUGAUUAUACUGCAGGAUUAAAUCUUGGCUGUGACAGUCAAGAAGAACAACACAAGCCAUCAUGGUGAUGAAAGCAUGGUGUACAUUAUUCUGAGGGUACGUCCCUAUAAUACAUUACCCCCCCCCCCUGAAGUGUACUGUUCCCUCAAAUAUAAAAGCCUUGACUAGCUGAUCAUAACAGAUUAAGUGAUCAUAGUGUUAGGCCUUGUAGUGUUUUUUGUUGUUGUCUAUACUAGCUGAUCAUAGUGAGAUACACCUGCAUUAGCUCCUCCCCCCCAAGCUAAUGCCUAGACUUUAUCUCAGCUGGCUAACACAGAUUCCUGGAGACCCGGAUUGGAACCUACAUGCAGACAGGCGAUCUUUAAAAACCUUUAAAGACCUGUAUAGAUCUUUAUAGCCCUUUUUAGCCAGACUUCAUAGACACAGCGUGCAGAGUAAGUUAGUUAGGAAGAUAUGUUAAGGCAGCGUUUCCCAAACUAGGUCCCUGGGGAACCCAAGGAGUGCACGUUUUUUUUUUUUUCUCCUCUACAAUUACACAGCUGAUUCAAUUCAUCACAGCUUGAUGAUGAGUUGAUUACUUUUUUAAUCAGCUAUGUAGUGCUAGGGCAAAAAAAAAAAAAAAUGGGGUCCCCAGGUCCGAGUUUUGGAAAUCCUUGGUCAAGGAAAACAGACUUUCUACACACCAGAUAUACAGAGCAUUCCUGGAAAGUAUUCAGACCCCUUCCCUUCUUUCCACAUUGUGUUACGUUACAGCCUUAUUCUACAAUGGAUGAAAUAAAACACAUUCCUCAUCAAUCUACACACAAUAUCCCUAUAAUGACAUCACAAUACCCCUAUAAUGACAUCACAAUAUCCCUAUAAUGACAUCACAAUACCCCUAUAAUGACAUCACAAUACCCCUAUAAUGACGAAGCGAAAAUAUAUAUAUAUUUCUGUUAUAUUUGGAAAUGUAUAAAAAAAAAAUUGAAUGCAUCCCAAUUGGCACCCUAGUCCCUACAUGCGGGGACUGCAAUUAUUAUUAUUAUUAUUAUUUUUAAAUGUAACCUUCAUUUAACAACACAAGUCAGUUUUAAGAACAAAAAUUCUUGCAAUAGGAUGUCGUUUGGGACACUGUCAUUGUCUAUGACCCAGUGCCUGCCCAGUGUAUAUAUAAACACAUGUAAUAAUCAGCCCCUGUUAUUGGUCAGUUACACCACAGAUGUACAGGUUUUUAUCUAUUUGUCACUUGUUGUGGUUAAUAAUAUUGUAUUGUUUCUGAAUGCAGCAUUGUGGGAGUUUUUGAACUAUGAGAAAUGAAAAGCACUUACUGAAAUGAAAUGAAAAUAAAGUUAUUAAU
Long non-coding RNA from Oncorhynchus tshawytscha (Chinook salmon), 3257 nucleotides. The record is from Ensembl. NCBI's taxonomy places the organism in Eukaryota, Metazoa, Chordata, Actinopteri, Salmoniformes, Salmonidae.